Molecule: non-coding RNA, 202 nt
Organism: Paramuricea clavata
Lineage: Eukaryota; Metazoa; Cnidaria; Anthozoa; Malacalcyonacea; Plexauridae
Source: the annotation of a GenBank genome assembly
AAAAAAUGAAGAGUGUCACAUAAUAGAUGAGGUUCUAAGCUUUUAAAAAAUAUAUCACUCAUUAAAUUUGGGUAAUUGGUUAAUGAGAUAUGAAGUUUUGCGACGCUAGGCAAUUAUGGCCUAAUUAAGAGCCGCCAUAUUGGAUAAUUAGUGUAAUUAGUGACUUUGUUAAUUUUUUUUUUCAUAGUUCAUUUUACUUAAC